Molecule: ribosomal RNA, 489 nt
Filed under: uncultured bacterium
Lineage: Bacteria
Description: partial 16S ribosomal RNA
Rfam family: Bacterial small subunit ribosomal RNA
Source: RNAcentral
GACGAACGCUGGCGGCGUGCUUAACACAUGCAAGUCGAACGGAAAGGCCCCCAUCUUGGUGGGGGUGCUCGAGUGGCGAACGGGUGAGUAACACGUGGGUGAUCUGCCCUGUACUUCGGGAUAAGCUUGGGAAACUGGGUCUAAUACCGGAUAGGACCAUGGUUUAGUGUCUCAUGGUGGAAAGAUUAUUGUUUUGGUGCAGGAUGAGCUCGCGGCCUAUCAGCUUGUUGGUGGGGUAAUGGCCUACCAAGGCGUCGACGGGUAGCCGGCCUGAGAGGGUGGACGGCCACAUUGGGACUGAGAUACGGCCCAGACUCCUACGGGAGGCAGCAGUGGGGAAUAUUGCACAAUGGGCGCAAGCCUGAUGCAGCGACGCCGCGUGGGGGAUGACGGCCUUCGGGUUGUAAACUCCUUUCGUUAGGGACGAAGCCGCACUUUUUUUGGGUGUGGUGACGGUACCUUUGUUAAGAAGCACCGGGUAACUACGUG